ACAACAUUCGGACUGUCGGUCUACCGAGCAAAUAUCACCCGCUCGGUGGAAGAUCUUCCUAAGAGAA
This 67-nucleotide microRNA precursor is filed under the name Bombyx mori (domestic silkworm). Its description in RNAcentral is "mir-2774 microRNA precursor family". It matches the Rfam family "mir-2774 microRNA precursor family". The record is from Rfam by way of RNAcentral. Lineage: Eukaryota; Metazoa; Arthropoda; Insecta; Lepidoptera; Bombycidae.